UCGGUCUCAAUCACUGCUCCUUACCCUCCCAACUACCCGGCCAGGCCGCCCCCAUCCACCUCCCAGAUCGUAGGCGGCUCAAUCGACCGUCUUCGCUUCCCUCACCUUGCGUCGGCGGUGCCCAUUGAUCAAUUUACGCCCGCCGUCUCCAAUAGCGAGCCUCCGAUCCCAUCCCGCAGCGCGUGAAGCAACGCUGGCGUCACCCAUCUCGUGCGUCUCGUCGCGUCUCCUCUGGUCUCGUUGCUGAGGAUGGAGCCCGCAGCAGCAGCAACAACAGCAGCUUGCUUGGGUCGUUUCCGCUUGCCACUUCUAGGGUGGACGGUUCGCCCGACUCGAGCCGGCGCCACCCCGAUUGCUGCCGUUGCCGACGACAGCCACCCGGACUGCGCCAUGGACUCGGCAUCCCGCCCCGCCAUCGUCAUCUACAACAGCACCGGGUACACAAAGAUGGGGUUCACGGAGAACAUGGAGCCCUGCUUCAUCACCCCCACUGUCGUCACCAUCAACGACUCUUCCAGCCAUACGACGACGAAGGGCGCUGCCAAUGGGAAUUGGCUGGCGCAGCACACUGCCGGCGUCAUGGCCGACCUCGACUUCUACAUCGAGCCGGUCCUGCCCCAGCAGCACGUACAGCCAUAGCCACCCCAUCCGCAAUGGCCAGGUGAGCAACGCUAUGUUUGAGGUGGCGGAGAGGCACCACACCGAGGUGCUGGUCUUCGGCAGCCAUGGCUACGGAGCAAUAAAAAGCAUGGAAGAAAGGAAGUUAAUAUGGAGCUGAAAAAGGAGGCUGAUUUUUUUUUUGGACAUUAUUGUUGUGCCAUUCAUGGAUAGCUAUUAUUUGGUUGUUCUGAAGACGAAUGCCAUAUGCGAGUAUGGGGAUCAUGUUGUAUCUGCUAGAUAUAUAAUGAAGUGUGAUGGUGAUACUUUUGUUAGACUUGAAUCAGUAAUUGAUGAAGUGAAGAAAAUUUGAAAUGACAAAAGUCUCUAUAUAGGAAACAUGAAGGAUCACCACAUAAGCGGCACUGAUGUCUUGAUUAGUUGAUUUCUAACACAUGUGGCUGCUGAAUUGAAGAGCAAUAAAGAAAAGGAAGACGGCAACCAUGACUUUGUGCCUACAAGUACAUAAUUAUGCAUCUCUAUGUCCAUGAUUGCAGAAUGUCUUUGCUGGAUUAAAGAGUGAUAUUGCUUCGAUAUCAGUUGUUGCCGAUGCUACUGGUGGCUUAGAUUGCUAAAUAAUGUUGAAUGCAUGGCUUAAUUGGUAGCCUGAACUACUGUCGGUUAAUCAAUGAUUUACAACUAUUGCUUCAUAUAAGUGUUUUGCUGACUAGGUGAUAUUUGCAGUAAACUACUCACACGAUGACUUAUAGUUACAUAGGUUUAUAACAGGUUAUAGUCUUCGGUAUAAGCAUCCUACUUGAUAUCCUUUCUAAAGCUG
Molecule: long non-coding RNA, 1435 nt
Organism: Phragmites australis (common reed)
Lineage: Eukaryota; Viridiplantae; Streptophyta; Magnoliopsida; Poales; Poaceae
Exons: 6
Source: RefSeq, a predicted model, not a curated record